RNAcentral lists this ribosomal RNA (424 nucleotides) under Verrucomicrobiota bacterium. RNAcentral describes it as "Verrucomicrobia bacterium partial 16S ribosomal RNA". It matches the Rfam family "Bacterial small subunit ribosomal RNA", at positions 355 to 776 of the family's 1533-position model. Lineage: Bacteria; Pseudomonadati; Verrucomicrobiota. The record is from RNAcentral.
UGAGGAAUAUUGGUCAAUGGGCGAGAGCCUGAACCAGCCAAGUAGCGUGCAGGAUGACGGCCCUAUGGGUUGUAAACUGCUUUUACGCGGGGAUAAAGUGCGUGACGUGUCGCGCAUCGCAGGUACCGCGUGAAUAAGGACCGGCUAAUUCCGUGCCAGCAGCCGCGGUAAUACGGAAGGUCCGGGCGUUAUCCGGAUUUAUUGGGUUUAAAGGGAGCGCAGGCCGCCCGAUAAGCGUGUUGUGAAAUGUACCGGCUCAACCGGUGAGUUGCAGCGCGAACUGUCAGGCUUGAGUGCACGGUAAGCAGGCGGAAUUCAUGGUGUAGCGAUGAAAUGCUUAGAUAUCAUGAGGAACUCCGAUUGCGAAGGCAGCUUGCUGCAGUGCGACUGACGCUUAGGCUCGAAGGUGCGGGUAUCAAACAGG